CAGAGAUGGGUGCCCCCUUGUGGUCGGUAUACAGGUGGUGCAUGGCUGUCGUCAGCUCGUGUCGAGAGAUGUUGGGUUAAGUCCCGCAACGAGCGCAACCCUUGUCCUGUGUUGCCAGCAUGCCCUUCGGGGUGAUGGGGACUCACAGGAGACCGCCGGGGUCAACUCGGAGGAAGGUGGGGACGACGUCAAGUCAUCAUGCCCCUUAUGUCUUGGGCUGCACACGUGCUACAAUGGCCGGUACAAAGAGCUGCGAUGCCGCGAGGCGGAGCGAAUCUCAAAAAGCCGGUCUCAGUUCGGAUUGGGGUCUGCAACUCGACCCCAUGAAGUCGGAGUUGCUAGUAAUCGCAGAUCAGCAUUGCUGCGGUGAAUACGUUCCCGGGUCUUGUACACACCG
Molecule: ribosomal RNA, 397 nt
Filed under: Streptomyces roseofulvus
Lineage: Bacteria; Bacillati; Actinomycetota; Actinomycetes; Kitasatosporales; Streptomycetaceae
Description: bacterial SSU rRNA
Rfam family: Bacterial small subunit ribosomal RNA
Source: RNAcentral